RNAcentral lists this ribosomal RNA (497 nucleotides) under uncultured bacterium. RNAcentral's name for it is "partial 16S ribosomal RNA". It matches the Rfam family "Bacterial small subunit ribosomal RNA", at positions 28 to 507 of the family's 1533-position model. The record is from RNAcentral.
GAUGAACGCUGGCGGCGUGCCUAAUACAUGCAAGUCGAGCGAACAGAUGAGGAGCUUGCUCCUCUGACGUCAGCGGCGGACGGGUGAGUAACACGUGGAUAACCUACCUAUAAGACUGGGAUAACUUCGGGAAACCGGAGCUAAUACCGGAUAAUAUAUUGAACCGCAUGGUUCAAUAGUGAAAGACGGUUUUGCUGUCACUUAUAGAUGGAUCCGCGCCGCAUUAGCUAGUUGGUAAGGUAACGGCUUACCAAGGCGACGAUGCGUAGCCGACCUGAGAGGGUGAUCGGCCACACUGGAACUGAGACACGGUCCAGACUCCUACGGGAGGCAGCAGUAGGGAAUCUUCCGCAAUGGGCGAAAGCCUGACGGAGCAACGCCGCGUGAGUGAUGAAGGUCUUCGGAUCGUAAAACUCUGUUAUUAGGGAAGAACAAAUGUGUAAGUAACUAUGCACGUCUUGACGGUACCUAAUCAGAAAGCCACGGCUAACUACGUG